GGUUAAGCGACUAAGCGUACACGGUGGAUGCCCUGGCAGUCAGAGGCGAUGAAGGGCGUGCUAAUCUGCGAUAAGCGCCGGUAAGGUGAUAUGAACCGUUAUAACCGGCGAUACCCGAAUGGGGAAACCCAGUGUGACUCGUCACACUAUCAUUAACUGAAUCCAUAGGUUAAUGAGGCGAACCGGGGGAACUGAAACAUCUAAGUACCCCGAGGAAAAGAAAUCAACCGAGAUUCCCNCAGUAGCGGCGAGCGAACGGGGAGGAGCCCAGAGCCUGAAUCAGCAUGUGUGUUAGUGGAAGCGUCUGGAAAGGCGCGCGAUACAGGGUGACAGCCCCGUACACAAAAGCGCAUGUGCUGUGAGCUCGAUGAGUAGGGCGGGACACGUGGUAUCCUGUCUGAAUAUGGGGGGACCAUCCUCCAAGGCUAAAUACUCCUGACUGACCGAUAGUGAACCAGUACCGUGAGGGAAAGGCGAAAAGAACCCCGGCGAGGGGAGUGAAAAAGAACCUGAAACCGUGUACGUACAAGCAGUGGGAGCACCCUUUGGGGUGUGACUGCGUACCUUUUGUAUAAUGGGUCAGCGACUUAUAUUCUGUAGCAAGGUUAACCGAAUAGGGGAGCCGGAGGGAAACCGAGUCUUAACCGGGCGUUAAGUUGCAGGGUAUAGACCCGAAACCCGGUGAUCUAGCCAUGGGCAGGUUGAAGGUUGGGUAACACUAACUGGAGGACCGAACCGACUAAUGUUGAAAAAUUAGCGGAUGACCUGUGGCUGGGGGUGAAAGGCCAAUCAAACCGGGAGAUAGCUGGUUCUCCCCGAAAGCUAUUUAGGUAGCGCCUCGUGAAUUCAUCUCCGGGGGUAGAGCACUGUUUCGGCUAGGGGGCCAUCCCGGCUUACCAACCCGAUGCAAACUGCGAAUACCGGAGAAUGUUAUCACGGGAGACACACGGCGGGUGCUAACGUCCGUCGUGAAGAGGGAAACAACCCAGACCGCCAGCUAAGGUCCCAAAGUCAUGGUUAAGUGGGAAACGAUGUGGGAAGGCCCAGACAGCCAGGAUGUUGGCUUAGAAGCAGCCAUCAUUUAAAGAAAGCGUAAUAGCUCACUGGUCGAGUCGGCCUGCGCGGAAGAUGUAACGGGGCUAAACCAUGCACCGAAGCUGCGGCAGCGACACUGAUGCGUUGUUGGGUAGGGGAGCGUUCUGUAAGCCUGUGAAGGUGUGUCGUGAGGCAUGCUGGAGGUAUCAGAAGUGCGAAUGCUGACAUAAGUAACGAUAAAGCGGGUGAAAAGCCCGCUCGCCGGAAGACCAAGGGUUCCUGUCCAACGUUAAUCGGGGCAGGGUGAGUCGACCCCUAAGGCGAGGCCGAAAGGCGUAGUCGAUGGGAAACGGGUUAAUAUUCCCGUACUUGGUGUUACUGCGAAGGGGGGACGGAGAAGGCUAUGUUGGCCGGGCGACGGUUGUCCCGGUUUAAGCGUGUAGGUGUGUGUUCCAGGUAAAUCCGGUUCACUUUAACACUGAGGCGUGACGACGAGGCACUACGGUGCUGAAGCAACAAAUGCCCUGCUUCCAGGAAAAGCCUCUAAGCAUCAGGUAACAUCAAAUCGUACCCCAAACCGACACAGGUGGUCAGGUAGAGAAUACCAAGGCGCUUGAGAGAACUCGGGUGAAGGAACUAGGCAAAAUGGUGCCGUAACUUCGGGAGAAGGCACGCUGACACGUAGGUGAAGUGAUUUACUCAUGGAGCUGAAGUCAGUCGAAGAUACCAGCUGGCUGCAACUGUUUAUUAAAAACACAGCACUGUGCAAACACGAAAGUGGACGUAUACGGUGUGACGCCUGCCCGGUGCCGGAAGGUUAAUUGAUGGGGUCAGCGCAAGCGAAGCUCCUGAUCGAAGCCCCGGUAAACGGCGGCCGUAACUAUAACGGUCCUAAGGUAGCGAAAUUCCUUGUCGGGUAAGUUCCGACCUGCACGAAUGGCGUAAUGAUGGCCAGGCUGUCUCCACCCGAGACUCAGUGAAAUUGAACUCGCUGUGAAGAUGCAGUGUACCCGCGGCAAGACGGAAAGACCCCGUGAACCUUUACUAUAGCUUGACACUGAACAUUGAGCCUUGAUGUGUAGGAUAGGUGGGAGGCUUUGAAGUGUGGACGCCAGUCUGCAUGGAGCCGGCCUUGAAAUACCACCCUUUAAUGUUUGAUGUUCUAACGUGGACCCGUGAUCCGGGUUGCGGACAGUGUCUGGUGGGUAGUUUGACUGGGGCGGUCUCCUCCUAAAGAGUAACGGAGGAGCACGAAGGUUGGCUAAUCCUGGUCGGACAUCAGGAGGUUAGUGCAAUGGCAUAAGCCAGCUUGACUGCGAGCGUGACGGCGCGAGCAGGUGCGAAAGCAGGUCAUAGUGAUCCGGUGGUUCUGAAUGGAAGGGCCAUCGCUCAACGGAUAAAAGGUACUCCGGGGAUAACAGGCUGAUACCGCCCAAGAGUUCAUAUCGACGGCGGUGUUUGGCACCUCGAUGUCGGCUCAUCACAUCCUGGGGCUGAAGUAGGUCCCAAGGGUAUGGCUGUUCGCCAUUUAAAGUGGUACGCGAGCUGGGUUUAGAACGUCGUGAGACAGUUCGGUCCCUAUCUGCCGUGGGCGCUGGAGAACUGAGGGGGGCUGCUCCUAGUACGAGAGGACCGGAGUGGACGCAUCACUGGUGUUCGGGUUGUCAUGCCAAUGGCACUGCCCGGUAGCUAAAUGCGGAAGAGAUAAGUGCUGAAAGCAUCUAAGCACGAAACUUGCCCCGAGAUGAGUUCUCCCUGAGACUUAGAGUCUCCUGAAGGAACGUUGAAGACGACGACGUUGAUAGGCCGGGUGUGUAAGCGCAGCGAUGCGUUGAGCUAACCGGUACUAAUGAACCGUGAGGCUUAACCUU
This 2906-nucleotide ribosomal RNA is filed under the name Salmonella enterica. RNAcentral describes it as "23S ribosomal RNA". It matches the Rfam family "Bacterial large subunit ribosomal RNA". The record is from RNAcentral. Lineage: Bacteria; Pseudomonadati; Pseudomonadota; Gammaproteobacteria; Enterobacterales; Enterobacteriaceae.